Molecule: unclassified non-coding RNA, 378 nt
Filed under: plant metagenome
Description: partial contains 5.8S ribosomal RNA, internal transcribed spacer 2, and large subunit ribosomal RNA
Rfam family: 5.8S ribosomal RNA (bases 1-105)
Source: RNAcentral
CAAAUGCGAUAAGUAAUGUGAAUUGCAGAAUUCAGUGAAUCAUCGAAUCUUUGAACGCACCUUGCGCUCCUUGGUAUUCCUUGGAGCAUGCCUGUUUGAGUAUCAUGAAAUCUUCAAAGUAAAUCUUUUGUUAACUCAAUUGGUUUCUACUUUGGUAUUGGAGGUCUUUGCAGCUUCACACCUGCUCCUCUUUGUUCAUUAGCUGGAUCUCAGUGUUAUGCUUGGUUCCACUCGGCGUGAUAAGUUAUCUAUCGCUGAGGACACUGUAAAAGGUGGCCAAGGUAAAUGCAGAUGAACCGCUUCUAAUAGUCCAUUGACUUGGACAAUACUUUUAUGAUCUGAUCUCAAAUCUGGUAGGACUACCCGCUGAACUUAAGC